This 802-nucleotide long non-coding RNA is filed under the name Brassica rapa (field mustard). Its description in RNAcentral is "long non-coding RNA (BRAP_LNC000664)". The record is from RNAcentral. Lineage: Eukaryota; Viridiplantae; Streptophyta; Magnoliopsida; Brassicales; Brassicaceae.
UUCUCAUUGCUUCAAAGUAAUAACCAUCCACACAAAGUAUGCUUUUGUGCUCAUCGUCCCCUAAAUUCACCUUCCCAUGGUUUACAUACAACUGCAUCAUCACUAUCAUAAUUAAUGAAAAUUAUAUCGUGUGAAGAGCAGACAAAAAAAAGAAUCCCUAAAGUGAACCCAACAUCCCAACUGCAACAAAACAAAGAGAAACCACCAAAAUCAGAAAAUAUAAUAUAAACAGAAAAUAGAUCGUUAACCACAAAGUACCUUCUUUCUGCUCUUUUUUCCUUGAUCUUCUUCCUCGUUAACUGCUUUCAACCGUGACACAGCAUGCAAAUGAUUUUUUUUUUGGUUCAUCUACAUAAUAAACAGUGAGAGGAGUCAUUAAAAAUCGUAGGUUUAUAAUAUAAUGAUCUCGACGUUCAGGUAUGCAUGUGUAACUGGCUUGUUUCAAUAAGAAAAGAAAACAACAGAAACUGGAUCUAAAAGAAGAGAGGGUCCCUUACCGUUUAUCUGGAAAUUACAUGCCAUCUCUCAGCUUAAAUCUUCAAAGAUUGCACUGAGUCAGUCUAUAGACAGAAGCCUUCUCAAUCUAUGUUUGUUGUUAGCUUUGUAAGAUGAACAGCAAAGCAAAGCGAAGCCCUACUGAUAUUUCAAACUAAAAAGAGAUUGCAGAAAUGAUAUGAGGUAAAAAGAUUAACUGAUUUUGAUGCAGGCAUGAAGAAAUCUGUAGUUGACAAAUAUAUUUAGCAAGGAAGUGGAUCGCUUAAGAGAGAUCGUGUGGAACAAAUAGUGAUGAAGAUCAACUAAU